AUGGGAUCCACAUUAGCAAGAAAACGUAAUUGGCGUCCUUCUGCAGACUUAAUAGCCUCUGGAUCUGUUUGAAGUGCAGUGUGCACAAACAGAGGCCCCAAGAAGCUGCCACCAAUGCCAAUAGCAACAACAUCCUUCAGAGGUUUUCCUGUGGCUCCAACCCAAGAACCAUUGCGAACUUUCUCAGAGAAAUCUUGAAUCUUAUCAAGAACGUUCCAAACAUCAGGCACAACAUUCUUUCCGUUACUCUGUAUUGUUGCAUCUCUUGAUGCACGAAGAGCAACAUGCAGGACUGCCCUAUUUUCUGUGCUAUUUAUAUGUUCCCCAUUGUACAUCCGAUUAAUCUUUUCCUUGAGCUUUGCAGCCUCUGCCAAUUUGAAGAGCUUUCCAAUGG
RNAcentral lists this unclassified non-coding RNA (394 nucleotides) under Hevea brasiliensis (rubber tree). Lineage: Eukaryota; Viridiplantae; Streptophyta; Magnoliopsida; Malpighiales; Euphorbiaceae. The record is from RNAcentral.